Molecule: long non-coding RNA, 533 nt
Organism: Humulus lupulus (European hop)
Lineage: Eukaryota; Viridiplantae; Streptophyta; Magnoliopsida; Rosales; Cannabaceae
Exons: 2
Source: RefSeq, a predicted model, not a curated record
AAAAGGCUGUCCUAAAUAUGUCAAGUAAUAUAGUCUUGUUAUGCAUUACCUUGCUUGGUUACUAACAUUGGAAAUAAAUUUUUCCCAUGAUAUAUCUUGUUCUCUUAAUUGAAGUCCUAAAUUACUGCCAUUCACAGGGAGGACAAUAGCUUUAUGCGGUGCAGCAUCAACAACUCGACUGCACGAAGGAAUUAGAGCAAGUUAUAACAGGACUAUCAUCCCUUUUCAUUGGAUAUGAAGUGGGUAACAAGCAACAUUCAGCAAUGUUCAAAACCGAACCUGGCAGCCAUGAUCCGCUGCGCUUUGACUUGUCUGCACUGUCUAGAAUACACUUUGGAGCCUCUUGGAAUGAAACUGAAAGCUCUUUCAGAACAAUUGACCAGUAUGCCUAAUAAGCACCAUGUCAAAAAGAUUAACACUGAGUAAGCAUUAUCUUAAAGUAAAUAAUAUGCAUUGUACCUCAGGUUGCUGAACAGAGAACUUUCGGAAGAGGCUAAAACUUGUUAUGGGAUCCUUAUACAAAGGCCCUAAAA